GAUGCAGAGAUGCCGCGUGAGUGAAGAAGGCCCUGUGGUGUAAAGCUCUUUCGUCGGGGAAGAUAAUGACUGUACCCGAGAUAAGAAGGUCCGGCUAACUUCGUGCCAGCAGCCGCGGUA
RNAcentral lists this ribosomal RNA (120 nucleotides) under uncultured bacterium. RNAcentral's name for it is "partial 16S rRNA". It matches the Rfam family "Bacterial small subunit ribosomal RNA", at positions 385 to 522 of the family's 1533-position model. The record is from RNAcentral.